RNAcentral lists this ribosomal RNA (253 nucleotides) under uncultured bacterium. Its description in RNAcentral is "partial 16S ribosomal RNA". It matches the Rfam family "Bacterial small subunit ribosomal RNA", at positions 524 to 776 of the family's 1533-position model. The record is from RNAcentral.
UACGUAGGGUGCGAGCGUUAAUCGGAAUUACUGGGCGUAAAGCGUGCGCAGGCGGUUGUGUAAGACAGGUGUGAAAUCCCCGGGCUCAACCUGGGAACUGCGCUUGUGACUGCACGACUGGAGUACGGCAGAGGGGGGUGGAAUUCCUGGUGUAGCAGUGAAAUGCGUAGAUAUCAGGAGGAACACCGAUGGCGAAGGCAGCCCCCUGGGCCGAUACUGACGCUCAUGCACGAAAGCGUGGGGAGCAAACAGG